GCUCCCCAUGGGUGAGGGGCAGCAAACCUAACCCUAGCCGCCAGGCCUCCGCCACCACCACUUCCUUCUCACCGCCGCCUUGUCGGUGGGAAAGCCCACGUGGCCACCAAGGAUGGCAGCGGAGGGACAUCUUCCAUUGGUUGCUUCUUCUAGUCGUUUGGGUGUAUAUGUUCUAGCUAAGCGUGGUUGCCUUGUGUUGCUUCGAUGGCUUUCCAGCGGUCAUGUUUAGAUGCAAUGCAUGCUGCAUCAGGUCGAUUCAGCCAUUUGGCCAGGUUCCAUUGCAAAAGAUGUAACGGUACAAAGUUUAACCAAUCAAGUAGUGGCCGACCCAAGAUUGGGGCAAACAAGGGUUAUUGUCAGGUUAUUCAACGAAGCAAGCUACCUCACCUACUCAUCACUAGCGACUGCAAAGCUAUCAAGCAUUGUCAUCGUCCUUGCCCUGGCUAACCUCAAUCUCUGAGUCCGCCAUUAAAACCAAAGCUCACAGGAGUCCCGUCGAUGGCCUUAUGAGAUUCACAUGGACCAUUCGGUGGCUCCAAAACGUGCACAAAGUCAGCAUGAAACAAGCUGGACCCAGUAUGGAGAUUGGGUGAGUCUGCAAAGCUGGUAGGCGGGGGACCUUACAAGUAGAUUUGAAAGAGACAAAACAAACUGAGCUAACAAAGUGCAACGAGGGGAGAGGGUAACUGGCGCAACUAGAGCCAUCGAAUCGAGAUUGUGGGCAGAGAUUAGAAAUUAUAGAUUGUCAACUUUGGCAUUUAAGUGGAAGCUAGCUUUGAUCGCCCCUGCAGCAUUAGAUCUUGGAGGGACGGCUGAGAAAAGGAAGGCUCAAAGGAUAUUAGUGUUGUCCCAUAUUGGAAGUUCCGUGUGCAGUAUGAACCCUAUAAGUCCAAAUCCCGAUGGUUUUGGACGUAUCUAUGGCGACAUCCACCCCUGCAAUAAGGAAUCCUCAAUCAUACCCACCCCCGAUCCGGAUCCCAGUCGUCUAGUUUCGUCACACGGCCCCUGCCUCAUGGACGGUUUAGGCCUUGUGUCAAGUAAACAUAGGCAGUAGUACUUCUAAAUCUGCAAUGUACUUAUGUCUUGUGAUG
Long non-coding RNA from Triticum aestivum (bread wheat), 1091 nucleotides. RefSeq lists it as uncharacterized. The record is from RefSeq and is a predicted model, not a curated record. The transcript is spliced from 3 exons. NCBI's taxonomy places the organism in Eukaryota, Viridiplantae, Streptophyta, Magnoliopsida, Poales, Poaceae.